This is a long non-coding RNA of Ostrea edulis (European flat oyster), 695 nucleotides long. RefSeq lists it as uncharacterized. The record is from RefSeq and is a predicted model, not a curated record. Lineage: Eukaryota; Metazoa; Mollusca; Bivalvia; Ostreida; Ostreidae. The transcript has 2 exons.
CAAACCUGAAAAUUUGGAACAAUCAAGGAAUCUUGUUUUUAAAAAAUCGCAUCGAGUUUGAUGGAAUUUAAGUGAAGUCCAACACUGUUUUAGGCACAUUUGGUAUCCCAGUCGGUGUGUCGAAUGAAUAUGAGUUACCGUACCUAUACUGGAUUCCUAAACUACAUAAAAACCCUUACAAAGAUACAUCGCUAGAUCCAGUAAAACCUCUACCAAGCCCCUAUCGUUGCUCAUCACGAAAAUAUUAACAGCUGUGAAAGAGAAACUUCAAACUUAUGGUACGACUACAUAUGCCAGAAGUGGUGUAAAUCUAAUGUGGAUUCUAGAAAAUUCCAAAGAACCUUUAGUAAACUCGAUGACUUUUCAACACUUUACACGACCAUUCCUCAUGAUAAAUCAAAGACUAGACUUUUUGACAUCUUAAACGGAAAUAUUCUUAUCUAGUGAUCAGUCAUCCAAAAAAUUACUUUGUUAAACACCACUCGGAUUCCACGCACAAGUAUUCUGAUGUUGUAAUAAAAAAAUUCGGCUUAAACAGUACUGAAGAGACAUUAUUUGUCGAAAUGCGCAUCUGGUGCAUCAAAAUUAGUACCGUAUAAGUUUUACGACCCCUGGGUCGAGACCUCUGCCGGUGGACUGUUAGUCCCCGAGGGUCUCUACAGCCCAGUAGCUAGUACUUCGUUACUAGCUUGAAA